Molecule: RNA transcript, 2367 nt
Organism: Orcinus orca (killer whale)
Lineage: Eukaryota; Metazoa; Chordata; Mammalia; Artiodactyla; Delphinidae
Gene: PLPP5
Gene name: phospholipid phosphatase 5
Exons: 9
Source: RefSeq, a predicted model, not a curated record
AUGUUGCAAAUUAAAUAUGUGGACUUGUUCAUUGCCCGUAAUUUCUUGCUACCACUCAGUGGGCAAGAGGCCAUCCUAAGCGGGAGGGGACCAGCGCGGGACCGAAAGACCCAGCGCGUCCACCGCGCCGGCGAGGCCCGCAAGGUCCUGCGGGAGCCCGGCACGUCUUUCCGCAGUACGCGGUGUGCUUCAGGGGACUUGGAUCCGGAAACGAGGAGUCUGCGUGGUCCCCGGGGACGGAAGGCCCGGGCUUCUGUAAGGUACGCAACGUCGGGCGCGCGGGCGGGCGGGGGACAGACAGCUGGGGCGACCCCUCACUUCGUCCGUCGCUGUCUCAGGCGCUGGGGGCCGCUCUCGCCCCGCCUCGGCCCCGCCCCCGCUCCGGCCCCGCCCCGCGCCCCCCUCCCUCGGCGCCGCCACGUCAGCCUUGAGCGCGCGCGCCGUGAUGGGGAAGAAGGUGGCGGCGGAGGUGGGCCUGCGGCUCGCGCUGUUCGCGGUCUUCAUGGUAACAGAGCUGCUCCCGCCCUUCCAGAGGCUCAUCCAGCCCGAGGAGAUGUGGCUCUACCGGAAUCCGUCGUCGCCUUGCUGGCCCCGCUGGCCCCGGUCCUCCUAGCCAGGUGUCUGAAGAAGGCGGACGCAGUGGACAGCCGGCAGGCCUGCCUGGCUGCCAGCCUGGCCCUGGCUCUGAACGGCGUCUUCACCAACACAGUCAAACUGAUAGUGGGGAGGCCACGCCCAGACUUCUUCUACCGUUGCUUCCCCGACGGGCAAGCCCAUCAUGACUUGACGUGCACAGGAAAUGAGGACGUGGUGAAUGAGGGCCGCAAGAGCUUCCCCAGUGGACAUUCUUCCUUUGCAUUUGCUGGUCUGGCCUUCGCGUCCUUCUACCUGGCAGGGAAGUUACACUGCUUCACACCACGAGGCCGAGGGGAAUCUUGGAGGUUCUGUUCCUUUCUGUCACCCCUACUCUUUGCAGCUGUGAUUGCACUGUCCCGCACCUGUGACUACAAGCAUCACUGGCAAGAUGUCCUGGCUGGAUCCACCAUCGGCCUGACGUUCGCCUAUGUCUGCUAUAGGCAGUACUACCCUCCCCUGACGGACGCCCAGUGCCACAGACCACUGCAGCGCAGCCCUGCUCUUCCCACCGCGCAAAAGCAGCCUGGCGACCCUCGUCAUUUUGAUGUUUAGACACUGGAGCUGCCUUCCUGGAAAACAGGACUGAAGAUCUGCCCAAAUGCACCAGCUGUGCCAAGCAGCCAAGGCAGGGCAGGGUAGUCAGAGACCGGCUGUCUGGAGGGCAGGGCUUUGGAUACCAUGAUAUAUUUACUUACAAGAAACCGAUAUAAAAAGCGAAACACAGCUUGCCUGUCUACACCGCUCUGUCCACCAGGGCCUGUAGGAACCUGAGAGGAGUGUGAAGGACUGUCACAAAGAGAACUGCAAAGACAAUCACAAACUGAGACCUGUGAGAAAGAAAAUACCUACAGCACAGUGGUGAGCAAGAUGCCUUGGAAACUAUUAGUCUCCAUUCACUUGUCUUCUUCAAGGUGCAUCUCACUUGCACGCUCUGACACUGACUCUGCACCAGCUGUUCCUGGCCCCAUAGACGCAGGUUUGUCUUUCAGAAUAAGGAACACUUCCCCCUAGCCAGAUCUACCAACACUGCCUGUGCCGGGAGCCUGUUCCAUAGCGACCUGCACUACGGGUACCUAAGGAGGCAACGCUGUUUGUGUGCUUGAAGAGGACACUCUUCAAUACUCCCUUCACCCAAGCAGCUGUGGCAGAUGGCUUACACAAAUUCUAUUUCACCAUCAAUGCACCACUGAAACAUUUUAUUCAUCACUUAAUAAGCAGUCAAAGCUGUGUAAUUUCAGGUCUGUCCGCUCUUAUAACCCUCAAGAACUAACAACUAAGUCGGACUUUGUCUAGAGUCUCCCAGUUUGAAGUAUGAUAUGAUAUAAAAGGGCAGGUCUAGCAUAUAUAACAUCUUUGCUUUAUAAAGAUGCACCUGAUGUGAACUAAACUGUCCACUUUAGACUGUCCUCUGAGAGCAGCUCAAACAGCUGUGGAAACAAUGAACAGCGUCAGUGAUUCCUAGCAAUAAAUCUGUCAGUCAGCUGUAGAGAGAGUAAACAGUAUUUACAGAUUUUAGUCUUUCUUCAUACAGUACGUGUAGGAAAUAAAAGCUGGCUCAAGAGAAUCUGAUGGCCACCAGUCUCCCUCAUUCACUUAGACUUGGCCUUCAAAUGCAGAGAACACCCAUGAGCGAUGAGCAGACCCCAAAAUGCCUUCUGAAUCUCAGGAGUCCACUUCCAGAUUAGAAUAUUUUCUAAAGAUAAGCAAUAAUUUCUUAGAAAAAUUUAUACC